UUUUCCUCUUGGCUAUGCUGGUCAGAGGUACAGUCAUUACAUUUUUGACCACGUGUCUCAGAAAAGCCAAAUCUCCAGCCUGGCAGCUCAUCUUCUCAGAUGAUGAAGGCAAAAAUGUGCAACACUAAAAAGGUGAGACUUGGAUUCCUCAUUUUGGGCUGCACAGUUUUCAUGUACCAAAUGCUCUGGACAGGAAUGAGCCUGCUGAGUGUUUGCCCACAGUUUCCUCUGCUGAGGAAAUGACUUUUAGCAGUUCUGUAGGAGGAAAACAUCCCAUUACAGAAUGACUGAAUGCUUGUGUGGUAUGAAGAUCUCCCUGGAAGGAAAUUUCUGAUCUAGAAUAAAGUGUUGACAAGAACAGAAUAAAACCCUUUUGAAACAAGCACAGACAAGAUCCAUGUUGGUGGAUUUUGGAUGAAUGCUUUUGAGCUCUCAGCAUGCAACCUAAAGUCAACCCAGAGCAGUCUAGAGAAUUUUGUUUUCAGAACUUUUUAACUCUCAGAACCUUUACCUCAUUCAAAAAUGAAAACAAAAUUGCACAAAUCAAUUCUUAAGAUUAUAUUUAUGAACUGAAAGUAUAGCUGUACGCAAGCAGCACACUUCCUUAAUCUAUUCUAUAUCUGUCAGACUACAAAUCUAAACCAAACAGGUUUUGAAGAAAUGCAAAAUGUCCAUGUUGAUCAUGCAUACAGCCCUUAGGAAUAAAAGCCAUCCAUGUUCAACAUUAUGACAUCAGGAUACAUUGAUGGCAUGAUAAGAAUUUGGAAUUGCCCAGUAAGUUUUCAUAUCCUUGCUCAUCUCUUUCCACUCCUUCCAAGAUAACAGAAUUUCUUUCUAAAACAUAUGAUUUUUCAAAAAAAAAAUCCAGUGAGGUAGGCCCAUUCCCCCAAGAUGUCACAAGUUGCCACAAAGAGCUGUGCAGUGGGCAUGGCAUGUCACCUGAAUUUUCCUACACACAGCAAGCAGACAUUGCUGCAAUUCUAUCUUCUGGGGCUGCUGCUGGUCUCUGAACAGCUCAGUACUGCCUUUGGACCAAAACCAUUUAAACACAUACCUACACCUUUCAUGUCCCAGGGAACCCUUUGGUUCACCCUGCAGGCUCCAUGCUUGCCACGGGUGCUCAGGCAGAGCGUGGGGGAAGCUGUGGGGUGAAGCCCACAGGCAGCAUCUCCUCCACGGAGCUGUGGCUCAGACCAGGCUGUGUUAUUUCUGACCUGUGGAUGUGGGGUGAGAGAGCUGGUGCUGAGCAUCUGCACUUUGCACAUUUCAGGGUUUUUCUUGUUUUGAACCUGGUCUGGUCCUAUGGAUUGAAUGUCCUGGGACUGUGGUCCCUGAGGUGCACUCCGGAAGGACACUGUGAGUUCCACCUGGAGGAACCCAAAUCUUAUGCUCUGAUCUUAAUGGCUACAGCAAGCUGGGUAUGGAGGAAGGGCUGGGGCUUUCCCUUGCAGCUCAUGAGAUUAAUCUGAGUCAUGGUUUUAGCUGAUCAUCAUCAGAUUACCAAACACAGCAACUCUUACUAUAUAUAAAAGCUGGUGUACCCGGAAUGACCGAUUAAUACCAAUUUACUCAGGAGUGCUAUUUCAAGUCUUUAACAUCUUUAACAGUCCCUCUGUUCAUCUCAGAUGUGAGUGUCCAAAACUGUGGAAUGGAUCAAUCAGCGAUUCUAAUCACUGUUCUGCUAUUUAUUAAAUCAGGGCUACAGUGACAGAUCCUAAUGUGAUAAUUACAAUGCUGGACCCGGAGAUUUGGCAGUGGCUGUGGAAUACGUGAGUCACAGCACUGAGAGCACCAAGGCCAAAAUGGCAAAACUCACAGAGUCCAAAUAAAAUAAAAGAAAAUAAGUACAGAAAAAAAGAAGUCUAAGAACACACAAAAUGCCAAUUAUAGUGAAAUAGCUGUUAUAAAAAGCUCUCCUCAAGAAGAUAGAUCAGAUUUGUAAGAGGAAUUACAGAGUAUGUCUAGCUCUGUAAUCUUUAAUUGUGACAGAUAAACUGCAUGAAGAGAAGUUUACUUAUGCUUUGUGAGAAAACACACUCGUUAUAUGGCACUGUGUGAAUUUGCAUGGUGCUACAGGAUUUUAGAGUUGGGAGAAUUAUUGAUAAAAUUUAGUUAAGUAAAAGAAAAUCAAUGGAUGUGCUGUGCAUUUGACCCUCACAUAUACAAACCUUUCAACAUCAACGCCAUGGAAAGCUGUAAAGACCUGAGUUCUCUCUCUUGGGUUUUUUGGGGUUCAGAUGCAAAUGGGAGAAAGGGCUCCUUACAGGAGCAGUACUGGUGAAGACAAUGGGAUCUACAGAGGGCUGCUGCAGAGGAAGGAAGCAGUUGUGUUCUGGGUCUUUACAAUCUGCUACAGCUCUUCUUUCUCCCUAGGAAGGCUUUUUGGAGAAAGCUGUGGCAUGCAGAGAAGAGACAAUGUACUAAGGAGAUCCCUGGACUAAUAAACUAUUGACCCUCCAAAAGUGAACCAUGUAACUCAUUUUUUGCAACACCUCUGAAGACUGUAGAGCUGAAUGCAUCAUGCAAAUCAUUGCUGUGUCUGACUCACAAGUGCAGGAGAUAAGUGCCAGUGUGAGCUCUGGGGCUGGUUUUCCUCUGUCUCUCUUUCCUGGAUUAACUCAUUACUCAGUUAGAAGAACAAAUGCUGUGGGCUGAGGUGGUGCUCAGCACUCUGUAAGUUUUAUCAGAUGUGGCUUCCAAGUGCAUUAAAUAAUAUUUAAUGAGACUUGUCUGCCUUGCCUGCAGUCCCCACCAGUUCUGCUUUGUUGUGGUAGCACAGGAGAGAGGAAAGAACAAAACACUUUCUUUUGUGUUUUCUCACUUGUAGGACCCAUGCAACAGGAGGUUUGCAGUAGCACCCAAGACACAGGCGAAAUCUCGUGUUAAAAUCUUGCUAAAAUAUCACAUUGCUGGUCAUACACUGCCAGCACUUUUAAACAUAGCAGACUCUCUGGGAGGUUUAUAGACUGACUUUUAAUUCUCUAAAUGUAACCCUCUGCAGUUUAAAAAGAAAGGGAAUACCACGCUAUUCUCUUCACUAUGCUUCAGAAAGUUGUGGAGAAGUCUUGUUUCUGCCAUUGCUUGUAGAAGGGACCACGGGCCAGAUGUAGGGAUGCAAUGCAGGGUAGAGAUGGCUGCAGGAAAAGGGUGAAUCCUGGUACAUGGCAUGACCAGAGAGCCCAUGAUGUUAGUGUGCAAACUGACAGCUUCCCCACCUGCCCCUCCUGGUACUGUCACUCCCGAAAUCUCCCACAGAUGUUGCAGCAAGCUCCUCUCCUCCCACAGUAACCACCUCACAUAGGGACCUGCAAUACUUCUGCAUUUAUCCUCUGUAGCCACAAAUGUGAGAUCAUCAAGGUAAUGGGGAUUAUUUUGUCUAGAGCCACUGAAAUUCACUGUGCAAACAACUUGUGAUUUUAGCACUUUUGCUGCAACAGGUUCCCUGCAGUCAGACAGUGGGGACAACACACCCACGACAGAGCACACAGGUCCUGUGGGCCUCAUUUUACAGUACUACCUGGAACAUGGUUAAUAAUUUGCUGAGAAAAUGAUUAGUGCAAUACACUUCCUCCAAGUCUUGAAAUUUAUGCAUGAGUCAUUUUAAAGUGAAAUUGCUUUCUAAAUAGGAAUUGUUUCUGAUACUCUGCUUGUGUGCACUCGAAAGCCUCCUGUUAGACACAGGGUGCCUGGAGCAGACCUUUGCCUGCUCUUUGGGCCAGCAGGAGAAAGGCAGGUGGGAACUUUCAAUGAGAAAUUCAGACUUUCGCAUGGAUACACUAAAGGAUGCCUGACAUCAGCUCCUGUGUCUGUACUAACUGUGUGCAGGGACCAGCCUUUCUUCCCCACUUGCACUCGGUGGGUGUGACAAGCCUGGGACACCGCGUCCCCCACCAGAUCUGGCGCUGCCCACUGAGGCGUGCUGAGCAGUGGGACAGCAGAGGGAGCGCUGGGAGGCACUGGGCUGGAUCC
Molecule: long non-coding RNA, 3969 nt
Filed under: Taeniopygia guttata (zebra finch)
Lineage: Eukaryota; Metazoa; Chordata; Aves; Passeriformes; Estrildidae
Description: lncRNA (ENSTGUG00000029596.1)
Source: RNAcentral